CACCGGAAGCUGUUUUUCUCUCCAAACAAAGCCACAGAAAUGUCCUUUAAAGAGCAAAUAUUCAGCGGCUGUAUUUGUCGGCACACACACUCUUUCACCGUCACCAGAUAAUCCGGUACACCGACCUCAGGCUCACGGCCUCGGUGCUCCAGCUGUGAGUCCGUUACCGUGAACUAUGGAGCUGCACACAGCUGAUGUUAGCCAGGAAAACACUCCAGGCUGCCUUUAAUGGAGAGACGACGGUUUUCUUCCAGGAAAUGAAACCAGAAACAAAGAGGAAAGUUCCUGAAGACAAACUGUUAAAGGAGGAAACAAAGCAAACUUACAGUUUAUGCAAACAGAGCCGAAGAACAAGAAGCUCCUCACCUGGACACUAAACACGGACACACAGGUUUCCCAUUGUUUUGAAUUGGUUGGGAUGGACCUCAUCGGAAAACUGGCUGUAACAACAUCAGGACAACAGUAUAUAUGUGUCAUCACUGACUAUUUUACAAAGUGGCCACAGGUUUACCCACUUAAGACAAAGUCAGCACCAGAAGUUACAGAGUGUAUUAUAAAGUUUGUGCAUCAGUUCGAAGCCCUGAAACGAAUUCUGACUGACCAAGGCAGAGAGUUUGUCAAUUCUAUAAACAACGAAGUGUGCAAACUCAAACAUUAAAAGGAGUCUUUGUUCACCUGAUCAUCCACAAACUAAUGGGUUGGUGGAGAAAAUGAAUGGCAGCAUUCAGAGAGCCCUGAGUAAAGUUGUGGAUGGCCAUCCAAAUACCUGGGAUGAGUACCUGGAUGCUGUCAUGUUUGGGCUUCGAACAAAGAAGCAAAUAACUACCCAGUGUUCCCCCUAUUUUUUGAUGUUUGGAAGAGAGGCACGGUAUCCUUCUGAGGUUCCUGUUAUGUCAAGAAUUCCAAUUUUCCAUAAUCA
Archocentrus centrarchus (flier cichlid) is the source of this 919-nucleotide long non-coding RNA. RefSeq lists it as uncharacterized. The transcript has 4 exons. The record is from RefSeq and is a predicted model, not a curated record. NCBI's taxonomy places the organism in Eukaryota, Metazoa, Chordata, Actinopteri, Cichliformes, Cichlidae.